RNAcentral lists this unclassified non-coding RNA (181 nucleotides) under Cyperus leptocarpus. Lineage: Eukaryota; Viridiplantae; Streptophyta; Magnoliopsida; Poales; Cyperaceae. The record is from RNAcentral.
UCGUUGUUCGAAACACGACCGCGAACACGUAACGUAAAGCCGCCGGGGCAGGGCCCUCCUCCCCUGCUCCACCGGCCCCGGCCCCUAGGCCGAGUGCCGGAACACGGCGCGGAUUGUCGCCAAGGAACACUGAUCUGCCUAGGCACGCCGCAACCCGCGGCGCUGUCGAGGCCAAAGAAAC